Molecule: small RNA, 29 nt
Filed under: Bombyx mori (domestic silkworm)
Lineage: Eukaryota; Metazoa; Arthropoda; Insecta; Lepidoptera; Bombycidae
Description: ovarian small RNA-34312
Source: RNAcentral
UGCUUGCGGAUUCCACGGAGACAAUCCAC